This 594-nucleotide ribosomal RNA is filed under the name Colletotrichum boninense. RNAcentral's name for it is "eukaryotic LSU rRNA". The stretch from base 231 to 384 matches the Rfam family "5.8S ribosomal RNA". The record is from RNAcentral. Lineage: Eukaryota; Fungi; Ascomycota; Sordariomycetes; Glomerellales; Glomerellaceae.
UAGAGGAAGUAAAAGUCGUAACAAGGUCUCCGUUGGUGAACCAGCGGAGGGAUCAUUACUGAGUUUACGCUCUACAACCCUUUGUGAACAUACCUAUAACUGUUGCUUCGGCGGGCAGGGUCUCCGUGACCCUCCCGGCCUCCCGCCCCCGGGCGGGUCGGCGCCCGCCGGAGGAUAACCAAACUCUGAUUUAACGACGUUUCUUCUGAGUGGUACAAGCAAAUAAUCAAAACUUUUAACAACGGAUCUCUUGGUUCUGGCAUCGAUGAAGAACGCAGCGAAAUGCGAUAAGUAAUGUGAAUUGCAGAAUUCAGUGAAUCAUCGAAUCUUUGAACGCACAUUGCGCCCGCCAGCAUUCUGGCGGGCAUGCCUGUUCGAGCGUCAUUUCAACCCUCAAGCUCUGCUUGGUGUUGGGGCCCUACAGCUGAUGUAGGCCCUCAAAGGUAGUGGCGGACCCUCCCGGAGCCUCCUUUGCGUAGUAACUUUACGUCUCGCACUGGGAUCCGGAGGGACUCUUGCCGUAAAACCCCCAAUUUUCCAAAGGUUGACCUCGGAUCAGGUAGGAAUACCCGCUGAACUUAAGCAUAUCAAUAA